RNAcentral lists this ribosomal RNA (266 nucleotides) under uncultured bacterium. Its description in RNAcentral is "partial 16S ribosomal RNA". It matches the Rfam family "Bacterial small subunit ribosomal RNA", at positions 57 to 305 of the family's 1533-position model. The record is from RNAcentral.
GGAAGUUGUGCGCGAAAGUCUCCUUCGGGAGGCGAGUAGAGCAGCGAACGGGUGAGUAACGCGUAGGCAACCUGCCCUUCAGUUUGGAAUAGCGUCGGGAAACUGGCGGUAAUGCCGAAUACUACUGGAUGUCCGCAUGGACAACUAUUGAAAGCUGGGGAUUCUUCGGAACCUAGCGCUGAGGGAUGGGCCUGCGUAGCAUUAGCUAGUUGGUGAGGUAACGGCUCACCAAGGCCAUGAUGCUUAGCCGAGCUGAGAGGCUGAUC